CACUUUUGGUGGAGGAACCAAACUCAUCGUUGACUUGGGUGUGGUGCGGCCCACCCUGACUGUCCUCCCCCCCUCCACAGAGGAGCUGCAGCAGGGCAGUGCCACACUGGUGUGUCUGGCCAGUGGGGGCUUCCCCUCAGCAUGGAGGCUGGGCUGGAAGGUGGGGGGCAGCAGCUCCUCAGGGGUGUCACACAGCCUGGAGGUCAUGGGGAGGGACGGCCACUACAGCUGGAGCAGCACCCUGAGCCUCCCUGCAGACCAGUGGAGGAAGGCGGGCUCAGUGAGCUGUGAGGCCAGUCUGAAUGACCAGAGCCCUGUCACUCAAACCCUGGACCCUGACCGCUGUUCAGAGUAGAGCUUCAGCAACACUUUCUCUCUGGAAAUGAUGCUGCUUCUUUGAUACAGAUGGGUUGAUGAAGCUACAGAUCUCCUCUGUUCUCAUACGUCUGCAAGUUUCAAAGCUCUCUACUCAGUGUUAGUGUGCAUGUUGCUUUCUAAAAUUUUCUACAUAUUCUUCUUUGUGUCCUUAACUUUUCAAAUUAAACUGAAUGUUAUUUUCAUUCCAAGUGAAACUUUUCACUCAUCAAAAAUGUGGCAUGAAUAUUAAACCAUCAUUAAAUAAAACUGUGUAUUAUAA
Non-coding RNA from Micropterus salmoides (largemouth bass), 637 nucleotides. The record is from the annotation of a RefSeq genome assembly. Lineage: Eukaryota; Metazoa; Chordata; Actinopteri; Centrarchiformes; Centrarchidae.